GGAAUAUAUAAUACAAACCAUUUCCAACUCCAGCUUGACCCAGCCGAUUCUCCCUAGGCAAAAUUGCAUCAUCUUUUGAAGCACAAUAUCGGAAACAGGGGAGAAUCUGUCCUGACAGAACAAAAGUUCUAAUCAUAUACUUGGCCAAUUCCUGUUCGCACAAACUAACUUGUCACCCGCGCCAAGAGUACAACUUCUCUAAUCACAACACACAAACAUCCGAAGAGAUGCAAAGCUUAGAGUCAGCCCCACCACUGAUUACACUUUCACCUUUCCACCAAUCCGCACACAAUACCUUGUCCUUG
This 305-nucleotide unclassified non-coding RNA is filed under the name Hevea brasiliensis (rubber tree). Lineage: Eukaryota; Viridiplantae; Streptophyta; Magnoliopsida; Malpighiales; Euphorbiaceae. The record is from RNAcentral.